GGGUGGAUAGCUCAGCGGUAGAGCUCCUCCCUUACAAGGAGGAUGUCGUCGGUUCGAAUCCGGCUCCACCCA
RNAcentral lists this transfer RNA (72 nucleotides) under Sandaracinus sp. Its description in RNAcentral is "tRNA-Val". It matches the Rfam family "tRNA". Rfam says of the family: Transfer RNA (tRNA) molecules are approximately 80 nucleotides in length. Their secondary structure includes four short double-helical elements and three loops (D, anti-codon, and T loops). The record is from RNAcentral. RNAcentral also lists the same sequence under 2 other names. Lineage: Bacteria; Pseudomonadati; Myxococcota; Polyangiales; Sandaracinaceae.